AAACCCCAUCAUGGUCAACAGCUAACCUAGUGUAAUGUCUUUGGUUUAAACCCCAUCAUGGCCAACAGCUAACCUAGUGUAAUGUCUUUGGUUUAAACCCCAUCAUGGUCAACAGCUAACCUAGUGUAAUGUCUUUGGUUUAAACCCCAACAUGGUCAACAGCUAGCUAACCUAGUGUAAUGUCUUUGGUUUAAACCCCAACAUGGUCAACAGCUAGGACCUGAGAUAAACCUCAGCAUGGGAUUUAAAAUAAGUGUUAUCUGCACAAAUAUGUUGAUGAGAGUUGUUUUCUGCAUCCUAUUGUACCCUAUUCCUGAUAGAGUGCACUACUUUUGACCAGGGGUCAUAGGGCUCUGGUCAAAAGUAGUGCACUAUAUAGGGAAUAGGGUGCCAUUUUGGACAUAGGCGUAGUGUUUUGGGUAUUGAGUCCUGACAAUCUGUCAAGUCAGUCAAGCUUGACUGAGUCAGUGACAUUCUUUUGUUCCAAAGUGUCACGUUGUUUUGUUUUUUUCUUCAUGGCGCUUGGUAUGUAUUCUUGUAUUCUCCUAGAGACUUCAAUUUGACUCCUGUGAAAGUUGCCAAUUCCAACAGUACCCAAUUAUGGGUUUGGCACAGACAGAGAGAUAACAAACAAGUCACAGUAACUUAGCUACACUUCUAUAUAAAGAUACAUGACAAUGGCUUUGACAUUGUAUUUUGUUGUAACUCUGGCCCAGUCCAACCACACCACCACCACCACCACCACCACGUUUGUGCUUUUGCAUUCCAUUCCAGUUGAAACCUCCCUUUUUAUUUAAAGAAAACAGUGAACCUUCUUGUCUGACUGUGUCUGCAUCCAUCGCAGUAUAUUCUACAUAUGGGACUAGGGUGCCAUUUCAGACGCAUCCUGUGUUAAUUAGAAUUCCGUUGUCCGUUUUCCCCCCGGCUGUCGUUGGUCAUGUGACAAAGCUCCGGUUCCUAUUGUUACUCUCUACACUGUCCUCUAUGUACGACACAGAAAAAGCAUCGUUUUGGAACUCGCUCAUUCAUUCUUCACAACUUUGUAUUGUCCACCACCUCGCUGUACAUCUUACAGUGACACGGAUCGUCGUGUGCGUCCCAAAAAAUGACACCCUAUUCCCUUUAUAGUGCACUACUACCCAUAGGCACAGGUCAAAAGUAGUGCACUAUAUAGGGUAAUAGGGAGCCAUUUUGGGACGUAGACGGUUGUCUUUUUAUAUGCAUGGUAUUGGUAGCCUACCAGGACUUUUGAGACGGUCCCUUGGCAAACACCUUGAUGGGAAGAUUUAGCACUUUCUCUCUUUGUACUAUGCACUACUACUAUAAUACUACCACCUUGUUGGUUCUGUUCAGACACGGGUUCAAAUACUUCAAGCGUUUGCUCUACCCUGCCUGGAGUGCCAGAUGGGCGGGGUUUGUGGGUGUUUUUUUGUUGUUGCGACUGUUCUAUUGGUUCCGUUGCUCCAGGCAAGCUCAAUCAAGCCCAGAUACAGUAUUUUGAAAUGAUUUCCUCAUGUCUGAUUCUGAUAUCACUCCCCCAAACUAUGUUACUUGAACUUGUGUUUGUCAGUCAAGAUCAACUCUCGAUGCUUACUACAUUGUGUAUAUGUAAAUAACACAGAACACGAAGAAUAAAAUCUACAAAUAAAUAACUAUUAAAUAAAUAAAACAGAUUUUAAUGAAAGCUUCUAUCACAGUCACUUAUGUGUAAUAUGUCACCCUCUGGUCAUGCUACCACUAAAUAAAACUAUAAACUAUCACAUAAAUUAAUAAAUCAAUUGUUAUUUUCCCCCCCAAAUGUGUCAUGUGGAUGAAUAAAACUGGAGUUUAUUAAAAAAAAAAAAAAAAGAGACAUUUUAAACAGAAUAUGGCGUGUUAAAAGGAAAUAAUCAAAUGACCUCCGAACAACCUGUACAUGUAAACGGUUUUCUGUUUUGAGUGAAACAAGUGCUUUGUCAUUUUUCUUCCGUUCCCUGCGGCGACACUGGAAAAAAAAUAACAAAAAGUCUGUAUGAAAUUCUGUUCUUUGUCGACACAAGUUUUUUUGUUACAAAUAAACUCAAGUGAAAAAAAA
Molecule: long non-coding RNA, 2074 nt
Filed under: Salmo salar (Atlantic salmon)
Lineage: Eukaryota; Metazoa; Chordata; Actinopteri; Salmoniformes; Salmonidae
Description: lncRNA (ENSSSAG00000094756.1)
Source: RNAcentral